Molecule: ribosomal RNA, 254 nt
Filed under: uncultured bacterium
Lineage: Bacteria
Description: partial 16S ribosomal RNA
Rfam family: Bacterial small subunit ribosomal RNA
Source: RNAcentral
UACGGGGGGAGCAAGCGUUGUUCGGAUUUACUGGGCGUAAAGGGCGCGUAGGCGGCCAGCACAAGUCAGUUGUGAAAUCUCCGAGCUUAACUCGGAAAGGUCAACUGAUACUGUGCGGCUAGAGUGCAGAAGGGGCAACUGGAAUUCUUGGUGUAGCGGUGAAAUGCGUAGAUACCAGGAGGAACACCGGUGGCGAAGGCGGCUUCCUGGCCCAGUACUGACGCUGAGGCACGAAAGCGUGGGGAGCGAACGGG